CCUACGGGGGGCUGCAGUGAGGAAUAUUGGUCAAUGGGCGCGAGCCUGAACCAGCCAAGUCGCGUGAAGGAUGACGGUCCUAUGGAUUGUAAACUUCUUUUGUGCAGGAAUAAAGUGAGGAACGUGUUCCUUUUUGUAUGUACUGUACGAAUAAGCAUCGGCUAACUCCGUGCCAGCAGCCGCGGUAAUACGGAGGAUGCGAGCGUUAUUCGGAUUUAUUGGGGCGAAGGGGUGCGGAGGCGGGCGUAGUGAUAGUUUGCAGCUUAACUGUAAAAGUGCCAUUGAAACUGUUAGUCUUGAGUGCAAAUGAGGUAGGCGGAAUGUGUUGUGUAGCGGUGAAAUGCUUAGAUAUAACACAGAACUCCGAUUGCGAAGGCAGCUUACUGGGAUGCAACUGACGCUGAUGCACGAAAGCGUGGGUAUCAAACAGGAUUAGAUACCCGUGUAGUC
This 450-nucleotide ribosomal RNA is filed under the name uncultured bacterium. RNAcentral's name for it is "partial 16S ribosomal RNA". It matches the Rfam family "Bacterial small subunit ribosomal RNA", at positions 338 to 795 of the family's 1533-position model. The record is from RNAcentral.